GACGAACGCUGGCGGCGUGCUUAACACAUGCAAGUCGAACGGUAAGGCCCCAGCGUGCUGGGGUACACGAGUGGCGAACGGGUGAGUAACACGUGGGUGACCUGCCCCGCACUUCGGGAUAAGCCUGGGAAACUGGGUCUAAUACCGGAUAGGACCGCACCGUGAGGGGGGGGUGGAAAGUUUUUCGGUGUGGGAUGGGCCCGCGGCCUAUCAGCUUGUUGGUGGGGUAAUGGCCUACCAAGGCGGCGACGGGUAGCCGGCCUGAGAGGGUGGACGGCCACAUUGGGACUGAGACACGGCCCAGACUCCUACGGGAGGCAGCAGUGGGGAAUAUUGCACAAUGGGAGGAAGCCUGAUGCAGCGACGCCGCGUGGGGGAUGACGGCCUUCGGGUUGUAAACUCCUUUCACCACCGACGAAGGUUUUCUGACGGUAGAUGGAGAAGAAGCACCGGCUAACUACGUG
This 464-nucleotide ribosomal RNA is filed under the name uncultured bacterium. Its description in RNAcentral is "partial 16S ribosomal RNA". It matches the Rfam family "Bacterial small subunit ribosomal RNA", at positions 28 to 507 of the family's 1533-position model. The record is from RNAcentral.